AGGAUCAGGGAGCAAAUAGGCCCUGUGAAUAGCCUUGCAAUCUUUGUAAGCCAACUGUAUAUGGUAUAAAUGUGAAAAUCUGUUUAUUUCUAAAGCUCUCACUAAUGUGAUCUGUAGCCUGGGUGGGGCUUUCUCCUACCACUACCCCAUGAAACGGCCAUUUGGUCCCUGGCUGUUGGCAAAACUGCCAGUUGUGGUGGUGGUUUUCCUGAUGGAGAAAAACUUGCCACUGGGAACUGGAUGAAGACUUUCCAAUUCAUUUUGCUAAGGUCUUUUGAACAGCCAUCAAGCACUGACUGUUUUUAGUCACUAUGGAACCGGGCUGGAGAAAAUGGGCUUUCAACCAUAAUUUUAGAUUGCAAGACGCUAUAGCCAUCCAGGAGGAUUAUAACAUUUGACUGUCUUAAAGCUUCCCUCCUUCUGUCUUACAGAGUGAAGAUAUUUUUGUUGUUUUUCCAGCUUGUGGUAGAAAAGUUCAUGGGCUGCUGGGACAACAGGAAGGGGUUUUCAAAAAGAGCAUAAGGAAGUUGGAUGUCUCAUUCCCAUUGAUUUCAAUGUGCUCCAGAUCCCUGCAUUUGCCUGCUUUUAAAACCUACAAGGUUGAGUGUCUCCUAACUAUUCUGAUGAAUGCCUGGGAAUGAAUCAACAACCAUGCUGAAGCUGACUAAUAAGUGAGUUAUGUUCAGGGUGCAUUUCACCCAGUUGUAGCUAUCGGUCCCUUCAGAUGGAUUUUAAGAGCCUGGAAAUCUUAAUUUCAUCAGUAAUAUUUUGUCACAA
Molecule: long non-coding RNA, 777 nt
Organism: Mauremys reevesii (Reeves's turtle)
Lineage: Eukaryota; Metazoa; Chordata; Testudines; Geoemydidae
Exons: 3
Source: RefSeq, a predicted model, not a curated record